RNAcentral lists this transfer RNA (75 nucleotides) under Acrocarpospora corrugata. Its description in RNAcentral is "tRNA-Arg". It matches the Rfam family "tRNA". Rfam says of the family: Transfer RNA (tRNA) molecules are approximately 80 nucleotides in length. Their secondary structure includes four short double-helical elements and three loops (D, anti-codon, and T loops). RNAcentral also lists the same sequence under 3 other names. The record is from RNAcentral. Lineage: Bacteria; Bacillati; Actinomycetota; Actinomycetes; Streptosporangiales; Streptosporangiaceae.
GCGCCCAUAGCUCAGCCGGAUAGAGCAUCGGACUUCUAAUCCGACGGUCGGGGGUUCGAAUCCCUCUGGGCGCGC